This 449-nucleotide ribosomal RNA is filed under the name uncultured bacterium. RNAcentral describes it as "partial 16S ribosomal RNA". It matches the Rfam family "Bacterial small subunit ribosomal RNA", at positions 29 to 523 of the family's 1533-position model. The record is from RNAcentral.
AACGAACGCUGGCGGCAUGCCUAACACAUGCAAGUCGAACGAAGCCUUCGGGCUUAGUGGCGCACGGGUGCGUAACGCGUGGGAAUCUGCCCUUUGGUUCGGAAUAACAGUUGGAAACGAGUGCUAAUACCGGAUGAUGACGAAAGUCCAAAGAUUUAUCGCCAGAGGAUGAGCCCGCGUAGGAUUAGCUAGUUGGUGUGGUAAAGGCGCACCAAGGCGACGAUCCUUAGCUGGUCUGAGAGGAUGAUCAGCCACACUGGGACUGAGACACGGCCCAGACUCCUACGGGAAGCAGCAGUGGGGAAUAUUGGACAAUGGGCGAAAGCCUGAUCCAGCAAUGCCGCGUGAGUGAUGAAGGCCCUAGGGUUGUAAAGCUCUUUUACCCGGGAUGAUAAUGACAGUACCGGGAGAAUAAGCCCCGGCUAACUCCGUGCCAGCCGCCGCGGUAA